GUCUCUCUGUCUCUCUCUGUCUCUCUCUGUCUCCUCUCUCUCUCUCUCUCUCUGUGUGUGUGUGUGUGUGUGUGUGUGUGUGUGUGAGAGAGAGAGAGAGAGAGAGAGAGAGAGAGAGAGAGAGAGAGAGAGAGACUCUAUUCU
RNAcentral lists this microRNA precursor (144 nucleotides) under Marmota monax (woodchuck). The record is from RNAcentral. Lineage: Eukaryota; Metazoa; Chordata; Mammalia; Rodentia; Sciuridae.